Molecule: ribosomal RNA, 253 nt
Filed under: uncultured bacterium
Lineage: Bacteria
Description: partial 16S ribosomal RNA
Rfam family: Bacterial small subunit ribosomal RNA
Source: RNAcentral
UACAGAGGGGGCAAGCGUUGUUCGGAAUUACUGGGCGUAAAGGGCGCGUAGGCGGCCUGUUAAGUCAGACGUGAAAUCCCUCGGCUCAACCAGGGAACUGCGUCUGAUACUGGCGGGCUUGAAUUCGGGAGAGGGAUGUGGAAUUCCAGGUGUAGCGGUGAAAUGCGUAGAUAUCUGGAGGAACACCGGUGGCGAAGGCGGCAUCCUGGACCGACAUUGACGCUGAGGCGCGAAAGCCAGGGGAGCAAACGGG